Molecule: long non-coding RNA, 443 nt
Organism: Oxyura jamaicensis (ruddy duck)
Lineage: Eukaryota; Metazoa; Chordata; Aves; Anseriformes; Anatidae
Exons: 3
Source: RefSeq, a predicted model, not a curated record
AACAUCUGCAGCUAAGGAGAAGGGAUGCUACAAAUAGUCCCAGCCUUCUGUGACCCAGUGGGGGACACUCCACUGCUGUUUCCAUACCAGUGGUGGACACACAGAGCACACCUCCAUCUGCUCCUGUUCUCCUGGACAGGUACCUCUACAAGGUUUCUGACCAACUCAGAAGCCUUCCCGAGUUCCAUGUGUUAGGGGGAGAAAAGUGCAUUGGUUUUGCCUGCUACUAGCAAAUGUACCUACUUUGCUAAAACUUUCCCUGGGAAAAGCUUCUCGGCUUCAGCAUGAAGGCAGAAAAUAGACACAGCGUAUGCAGUGGUGGUGGGUAAGGACAUGUCAAGGCUUGUGCAAGAAAAUGAAUGGGAUUUUCAAAGGGCAGGGGUGAUCUUCUGGAGCAGUUAAAGCCCUGAGCUAACCUUGACUUCUGAAAAAUAGGAGUUAUC